Cyanistes caeruleus (blue tit) is the source of this 5230-nucleotide non-coding RNA. The record is from RefSeq and is a predicted model, not a curated record. NCBI's taxonomy places the organism in Eukaryota, Metazoa, Chordata, Aves, Passeriformes, Paridae.
CAGGGCAGGGGGGCUGGAGGGCUGGACCACAAGUGGGUGGAUGGUGGCUGCUGUGACAGGCUCUGCUCCAGCCAAGUCCAGCUCAUCAGGUCAUGUCAAAUGGAGCUAAUAUAAAUGUCAGUGUGCUGCUUUCAGUUGUGAAAUCUGUGUUUGUUGUACUGCAGUUCAUUUUCAGUCUUCCACUUCUAUGGAUGCUAUCAGCUGACAUGUCUGGCUGGUAUCCUCUGCCAAAAAUACACAUACUCUCAACAUUUCUCAGGAGUUGGGUUUUUUCCCCCCCUCCCUGUGACAUGCUGAUGUCAAAUUUCUUCCUGGCUCUGUGAUACACAAGACUGUCCACACCUACCAGAUAAUGAGUUUAACAUUCAAGGACAGAAGCUCUCAGUCUCAGUGAGACACAGGGUGGAGGUGCAGGCCUCAUUUGGGGUAGAUGCCAAAAGUGGCAGGGCUCUUUUAAGCUUUCUUGGCGUGUUCUCUCUUAAGAUAAUCCAGCCCAACAGAAAUAGAUGUGUAUAGCUCAGAGUACCAUUGAUAUUCUUGUUACAGUUAAAUACUACAUUGUUAUUAACAGCAUCUUAAAUUCUUCUCCCAUGGUUCCUUCCUUUUGGAAUAAAUUCUAUUCUUCUGAGCACCCAGGUCUCAGUCUUCUAUUAAUGUUGCUCUGGUUUACUCCAGGCUCUUCAUCAUCUCCCCACCCUACAACUAUAUGUUGGCUUCACAAAUAAAAAUUCUUACUCUCUUCCAUUCUGCUCCCCUACCUUUCUCUUGGCAACCUUAUCUGCAUAUCCAAGCUCAAGCAUCCAUGCUCUGACAAGACUCACAAGUCUACUCUGGACUUGUUUCUUUUUGUCCAAAACCAAAACUUCAUGCAGCAUCUUUCACUUUUACUCACUCAUGGUAAGCUGUCAUCUUAAGCUAACCAUGAAUUUCCAGUUUCCUCCCCACAAAAUCUUGCCUCUUUGCUUCUCUUUGUUUUUUUUGGGUUUUUUUCCCUAUCAUGAUCUGGGACUCAUAUUUGUUACUAAGGCUCCAAAGGUAAGGAAUUUUUUCAGCUGGCUCACCUCUCUAAUUUAUUACCUUCAGAAUGUGUCUAUGCCUUUCUGAGUUUUAGUUAUGACAAACAGAAAAGAUACUGAAUUUCCUGGUGCUCCACACGACUGAAACCCUUACAGAGGUUUAGAAUUGCUUGGAUUUUUUCUGUGGAAACAUUCUUUAUUUUCCUGGACAAACUGAAUCACAUGUACAUUUUUCCAUAUUACUCUGUAAAUGUAAUUUCUCCAGCUUAUCUGUGUGACCAAUGUGUUGCUGUUUUGGUGUCCUUCUUGGAAGAAAGAUAUUUCUUCAUGACAGUCCUUCUGUUUCAACAAAUGAAAGCUAUUCUUUACUUUGAAGACACUGCCUCGCUCUUUAGCUUGGUCUGAUGGUCACAGUUAGGAGAAGGUCAGAGGGACAAGGAGCCAGAAUCCUGUCCACCCUCCCAGGCUGGCUGCUAGGACAGACACCCUGUGACUUAUGACAGCAAGAAGUAAAUCUGCAAAGCUCUGCUUCCCUGGAUGCAGCUACAUUUUAUGUUGGUGCAUGUUCUCCUGCUAUUUCUCCUUUUUGCCAGUUCCUCUUCCCUUUGUUGUGUCUGAGCAUUUCCUGGGACAAGAGCAAGAUUUUAUAUUUCUACAGCACCAAGCACAGCAGCUCCCUAACCUCAGUGAUGGGGACUCUGAGGAUGCAGUAAUCAGGUCAGCAUCAUUCCAGCCACCAGCACAAGGCAAAAACAUGUACAUACAGAGCACCUCCUGCCCAGAGCACCCAUCAGACAUCCCACCUCAUCUGCUGACACAAUCCUUCAGCGCCCACCAAAAUCAAAUGCAGCUAAUUGGAAGGUGAUGACAGCCAGGAGACUGCUGGAUUUGCAUGCUAAUUCCUCUAUUUUACCGUCACACAGCCCAAGUACAGCAGGCUGAACACCUUCCUGAGAAAAACAGGAUUUCUGCAUGGAAGGAGGAUGAAUACUAAGACACACACCUGAAUUCUGCAGCAUAAGAGAAUGUCACCAUGAAUGUCCAUUGGCAAACUGGAUAAGAAAGAGUGUCACAGUGCAGGACAACCUAGAAGAUGACAGGUAUUUCCAGGCAUAGCAAUGAUGAGAUCAAAUUCCCCUCAACCUGCCUUGUUUGCUGAUCUUUUAAUCAGAUUCAACUUCACUGCAGCUAUAGCACAAGGUUCCCUGACAAUGUAUGACAGCAUGUGACAGAAAAAUAUAUUUUUUUUUUGGCCAUUUGAUGGUAUUUGAGAUAAAUCUGAAGCCCCAGCAGCAUCUGCUAAAUCUACCAAACUACUUUAGUGGAGGUUUUUAACUAUUCAUAAUUGAACUGGAGGGUUUGUGUUCGUGUGUUUGUAGUGGAAUCCAAACAGGAAAGCUGGGAAAUGAUCUAAACCCUUUGAGGUUAACCUGCUAUGAAAGAUCAUCAAUGACAGAAGAGGACAUUAUUAAAAAGGAGCCAGCCUCACUCAAAAUGAACCACUGUGUGAAGCCAAAGCCCAAAGAACAACACCCAGGGCUGUUUGUGGUCCCGCAGGGAUAUGUAUUUCAUCCCUCAUCUUCAUCUCUCCAAACUUCCUCUGAACUGCUUCUGAGCUGAAUUCUUGAGAAAGAAAAACAGCAAAUUUUGAAUGGAACUUAUCAAACUUUUCCCUACAAUCUGCUUCGUAUUCCUCUCACAAUCAUGUUCUUGCAGUGUCUUGGGGAGAUGCUUGGAUCAAAGAUAAGAGAGAACAAGAAAAGGAAUGAAGAGAGAAACAAACAACAAAAUAAAAGCAGCACCCCCCAAACUUCUUGAUGAAACUCCUCUGCGAAUCGAGUGCAUGGUUACAGCAAAGUUAAAACUGCCUUCUUCUUCACCAGCAUUUAAUUCCUGCUUUUAAAAUCAGGCUCCCUUUGAUCUUGAGGACUGAAAUGAUCUGGAAAUGAAACAGCCAGUGCUUUGCAGAAAAUCUGGAGAGGGUCCCAGACAUGGCUUUUACCUGGAAGGCUUCCAAAACAGGAUGAAAUCUCUCUGGUUUCAGAACAAAUUGCAAGAUUUUUUCUCUAUGUCUAGUCCAACUGUGGAACUCUAGCCCUGAUGUCUGCUGCUUCCCAAAGCACAGAUGUAAUAACCUCUGAGGUGAAAUGAGAACGUUAUUCCCCCAUCUUCUCCCCUCUGCCUCCCCUCUGAGGGUUGAGGGCUGAGAGAAUUUUAUUAAAGUGAAGGCUUAAAGUUUUGGGCAGACUUAAUUUGAGGAGACAGUUGGUUAUAACCCAGGCUAGGGCCAUCCAUGUGGAGGUUGGAGAGGACAGAGCUCCAGGAGCAUCUGUGACAUCUGGAUCCUGUUGAAAGCUCAGAAAUAUCUGCCUGGCUUCAUGUGACCUGGCCUCAGAGCCAAAAGGGCUGAGAAAUGUGGUUAAGAAACUGCAGCAAGCUCUGCCCUAGCAAAUGAGUCCCACUGAGAAAGCAAGCACAUCAAUAUUUCUUUGAGUCUGUUUCUUUUAGUGAAUAUAUUUCCAUAUGUUGCAUUAAUAUUUCUUUUAUUGGGGCUUGUGAGCCCAUCUGGUAUUUGUAUUGGGAGGGCUUGAGCUGGCAGAUCCCUGUGCUGCUGUUAGACACAGAUCUGGACAGCCCUUGCAAGGACGGGUAGGUGGUUGGAUAGGGACAACAUCUCCUCAGCUGCCUUUUUAAUUGGAUAAACUUCUCAAAUCAGUCAAGAUAACCAGGUUACUUCUUGUCAAUUAGUUCCCACUGUGCCAAAGUUACAACAUGGGCUGUGUAUAAGGUAUAGCAGUCCACUGUAAAGAAACCUCUCAGACACUGUACAGUGUAACAGCUCUGAUCUAGGUGGUGCAAAGGAGGAAAGAUACCUGGGCACCAAUAGUAAACAAAAAAUGUGCUGAAAUACCCCAGUUUGCCAGGACAAUAAGAAUCACUUUCCUUUGCAAGUAUUAUUAAGGAAUAGGGGAAUAAUUAUCUGCUUUAAUACAAGCUUUUUCCUUCUGCAUGAUUAACUUCAGUGAUAUCAACAGAGAGUGUGAUGACUCUGAAAUGACAGCUCCUGGUAGCACGUUCUGGGAUUAGCAAAAACAGGUUGUCACUGUACCCCAGUCAGGAGCAGGCAGUCGCUGUGUGCCCAGGGCUGGGCAGCAGAGCCGUGUUCUGCAGCAGACAUCUGACAGCCCAAGUGGGCAGCAGGUCCAGCCUCCUGCCAGGUGGCUCCCAGGUCGGGCGUGCAGGGCUCUGCUCCUCCAGGAGAUUGGAUUUCCUGAGGCAGCAGCGUGUGAUUUUGGCUGUGCAGCUUCCAGACUGAAAGCACUGCGUGCUCCUCGUGCUAAGCUGUGACUUGCUCUGUUCUGUGCACAAUGCACUGAGCUGAUUUUAAAAUAUUGUGUACUUUUAAAAUGCCUGGCUCUAAUGCCAGUCCUGUGUCUGGCUGCUCAACGUGCGAAGUGACAGCGCACGCACCAGCCCCUGGAGGGGAUGGAGAGAGAGGUAGGACAAACACGCCAGAGCUCUGAGCAAUGGCAUGAAACAACAAAAAGAAUCCUUUCAUUCUUACUAAAGUUGCAAAAAGUCUGUCAUGUCUUCUGUAGAAAUUAAUCAAUACAUGGAAAACUGCAUAACAACUGUGGGGGCAGCAAGAAUCUGUCUAUAAAUUAAAAUACUGUGAGUUUCCAGAGCUGACUGGGGAAAGCACUGGGGUUGCUAACAGGGCUCUGGAGCCAGGACAGAGUCCAUGGAAUUGGAUCCUUCACUACAGUCCAUGUUUUGUCAAUGUCAGGAUACAUGAGAACUGUAAAACAAAGCAAAUUGUAUGUUUGGAAGGAAACUUGAAAUUUAGUCCGGCAUCACAUUCAUUUGAAAAUUUCAUAUUAAUAAAAAAAAACAAAAAUGAAAUGUCCAUAUAUUUUAAAGAAAAAUAGGAGGUGAAAAGAUUAAUUCCCAAAAUCUGUGAAAUAUACAAUGAUGAGUUACUGAGGGCUGCAGUGAAGGGGGGUGUUUUUGUAAUUCUGUAGGCAUCUCAGUCCUCCGGUGAAAUGAUGUAUGGGGCAAUCGUCUGGUAGGGGCUGAUGGGAUGUAAAUGAAACUAAUUAAGGAAAUGUCAAACAUAAUUAAUAAAACAGGUUUAAGUUGCAAAAGCACUGUCAGCUGAAUGAAUGGGGAAGAAUGCCUCAUUCCCAUUGUUUUGGGGCUUGCUUGCUUAUUUA